AGUGGAAAAGAACAAACAUUCCUAUCUGUGAAAAUGUUUCUGUGCACCAAAACACACACUCACUAUCUCACAGUCUUCUUCCUCUGUCUUUAUGUUAGUGGUAGUAAGCUCUAGAUUGUGUGUGUGUGUGUGUGUGUGUGUGUGUGAUUGUGUGUGUGUGUCAGUGAGUGUAGUAUGGAUCCACUGGCCUGUUAAAUAGAAAAAGAACAGAUUUCCUGUCUCCUUGUCUCUCUGGACCCCCUUUCUAAACUCUCCCAGGGGUGGAAGGGAUGGACUGAGGACCUCGCUGAGAACAUCUGUGACGGCCGGCCCCUGCAGAGACUGCAGUGUGACAGGGCCUAUCCACAGCAGAUGUCACACCAGUGUGUGUGUGUGUGUGUGUGAGAGAGAGAGAGAGAGAGAGAGAGAGAGAGAGAGAGAAAGAGAGAGUGUGUGUGUGUAAGUGUGUGUCUGUAAUCAGGGUUGAAAAGUCCAUGACCUAGUGAAAAUGUAGAGGAAAUGUUCUCACAGUGACUUCCUUCCUGUCCCUCUUUUCCAUUCUUCUUUCUUGUUCAGUCUUGUGUGUGUGUGUGUGUGUGUGUGUGUGUGUGUGUGUGUGUGUGUGUGUGUGUGUGUGUGUGUGUGUGUGUAAACAGAACAGUAAAAAGCCAAUAUCAUCCCUACAUUUCUAACCUUUUGUCUUUCUUUCUUUCUCCAUUUUCCUUCCAUUCUUCCCUUUUACCCAGAAACCAUUUGUCCUCUUUUCAUUGGCUAUAAUAAAAACUACAACAUGCCUUGCCCCGCAGCCUCUGCAUGUGAAAUGACAAAUGAGUGAUGAGAGUGCUGAUGCAGCAUUUCUCACAUUGUCCCCUCUGAUUCCCCAUCCAUUCUCUCUUCCCUCUGCUGUUUCAUUGUUAGACAUUUUCCGUUUUCUCCCCAUGCUCUCCCAUCUUUAUUCUUCUCUCUGCCUUCUCCCUCUCUGUUUUCUCAUAUAUCUGACCAUUUGCCUCUCGUCUCAUCCCCUCGCCUUCCUCUCUCUCUCGGUCGCUUUUACUUCUCUGCGGGUCGCAGUCUGGUCACACUCCCUGGUAACUGAAACUCUCAGUGGGGGCUACACUGAAACUGACCUAAAAUGCAGUUUAAAAAAAGAAGUGAAAAGCUAUUUUUAGGUUUCAUUUCCUUCAGGUCCAGAGAGAAUAGAGGGCAGCAAAUUAUCCUUUAUUCACCUUGCAUGAAUUCCCUCUUCUCGAGGGGGGGGGGGGGGGGUCAUCAGUUCUCUGAGACCUUGUAUCCUUGGCCUCACCUUUGAAAAUUCAACGUUUUCUGAAUUAAAGCAAAAAAACAACCAAAAAAAAAAAGAGUCUCUAAUAGCUGUACCGAAAAAUCCACGUCAUUUCAGCUUUUUUUAAAGAUGUGAUUAAAUUAGCUUAAAAUUAACUGAUUUUUAAAUCUGUUUUUUCCUCGUUUUUUGUUGACUUACAGUAUAUGUGUUUGCAUGUCAGACAGCCUGACAACCUGAAUACAUGUAGAAAAUUGUUUAUCAAGGUUACUUUAAUUCACCUUAAUAAAAGUGCUGCUAAAAUGCCA
Labrus mixtus (cuckoo wrasse) is the source of this 1566-nucleotide long non-coding RNA. RefSeq lists it as uncharacterized. The transcript is spliced from 2 exons. The record is from RefSeq and is a predicted model, not a curated record. Lineage: Eukaryota; Metazoa; Chordata; Actinopteri; Labriformes; Labridae.